CUCCAGGUCAAGCAGCCUCAAUUCUUCAACAGAUAAACUGCAAGGGAAAGAAAGAGAUAUAAAGGAAAACUCUGAAUUAUAAGAGGCUUACAAGACAUAUCAAAAUUUUUUUUUAAAUGGGCAAAACUAUACUGUCUAGGGACACACACUUGGAUGUUUAAACCAUUAAGAAAUGCAAGGAUAUAAUUACUAUUAGAGUCAGAGAAGAAAACUGAGACUCAGAAAGGUUUUCGUGGCCACACAGAACGUGAUGGAGCAGCCUGAUUUUGAACCCAGGCAGCCCGGCUCCCCCGUGGCUCUCGUCCACUUGACAGGGGCUCCGGGGACAGCACAGGACCCGAUGACAUCCACCAUGGGAAGAUGCUGAUCAGUCUGGCGGGACGCCAGCCCACCACUUUCAGAACUGCUCAGUGUGAAUUUCUAACUUCAUCACAAUCAAGGCAAAUCACAGAGCGAUUUGGCGAAGGUAAUUGGCUUGGUCAUCACAAGAAAUCGAGGAGCGUCCAUUUCCAAGGCCCUGUUCCCCUUUGUCCACCCUCAGGAGAGCCGUGUGGGUUCUGGAAGCUACUGAGAGCCACCCAGAGAAGAGGUUGUCUCAGUGGAGGAAUUACAGGGUCUGUGCUUGCCCUCCAACCCUCUUUGAGUCUAUAGGAUUGUAUGUUUUAAGACCACGACUCAGGUAGUGAAAAUAAAAAUUUUUCAAACGUG
Odocoileus virginianus texanus is the source of this 708-nucleotide non-coding RNA. The record is from RefSeq and is a predicted model, not a curated record. Lineage: Eukaryota; Metazoa; Chordata; Mammalia; Artiodactyla; Cervidae.